Molecule: ribosomal RNA, 404 nt
Filed under: uncultured bacterium
Lineage: Bacteria
Description: partial 16S ribosomal RNA
Rfam family: Bacterial small subunit ribosomal RNA
Source: RNAcentral
GACGAACGCUGGCGGCGUGCUUAACACAUGCAAGUCGAGCGGAGCGGCGAACGGGUGAGUAACGCGUGAGUAAGUGCACCCCUCUCUGGGAUAACAGUUGGAAACGGAUACUAGUACCGGAUAGUGGGGGAUGACUCGCGGCCUAUCGGCUUGUUGGUGGGGUAGUGGCCUACCAAGGCGACGACGGGUAGCCGGCCUGCGAGGGCGACCGGCCACAUUGGGCUGAGAUACGGACCAGAGUCCUACGGGGGGCAGUAGUGGGGAAUAUUGCGCAAUGGGGGAAACCCUGAUGCAGCAACGCGCGGGCGGGAUGACGGCCUUCGGGUUGUAAACCGCUUUCAGCCAUGACGCGGUAGUGGCAGAAGAAGCACCGGCUAACUACGUGCCAGCAGCCGCGGUAAUAC